GGGCCCGCACAAGCGGUGGAGCAUGUGGUUUAAUUCGAUGCAACGCGAAGAACCUUACCUACUCUUGACAUCCUUGGAAUUCUCUAGAGAUAGAGAAGUGCCUUCGGGAACCAAGUGACAGGUGCUGCAUGGCUGUCGUCAGCUCGUGUCGUGAGAUGUUGGGUUAAGUCCCGUAACGAGCGCAACCCUCACCCUUAGUUGCCAUCAGCUUGGCUGGGAACUCUAAGGGGACUGCCGGUGAUAAACCGGAGGAAGGUGGGGAUGAUGUCAAGUCAUCAUGGCCCUUACGAGUAGGGCUACACACGUGCUACAAUGGGCAGUACAAAGGGUUGCUAAGCCGCGAGGUGGAGCUAAUCCCAGAAAGCUGCUCUUAGUCCGGAUUGGAGUCUGCAACUCGACUCCAUGAAGUUGGAAUCGCUAGUAA
RNAcentral lists this ribosomal RNA (424 nucleotides) under uncultured bacterium. Its description in RNAcentral is "bacterial SSU rRNA". It matches the Rfam family "Bacterial small subunit ribosomal RNA", at positions 917 to 1341 of the family's 1533-position model. The record is from RNAcentral.